GUUUAGUAGAAGUGUCCUUCCCGGAGAACUGAGUCAGAACACAACCAAGGUUCCAAACUGCGUGAAUUCAGACUUGUGGAAUCGUUGAAACUUCAAGAAGAUUCACGAUAUUUGCUAAACAUGAGAAACUUGGUCAUUUUGUUGAUUUUCGUGAGCUGUGCAUUGUCUGUGGCGGCUGCUUGCAAGGAUAAAAACAAAAAUUGUAAAUCAUGGGCAUUGAGCGGUGAAUGCAAAAAAAAUCCAAAGUUCAUGGUGAUCAAUUGCCCCAAAAGUUGCACAAUCUGUCCAGGUUGCAAAGAUAAAAACAAAAAUUGUAAAUUCUGGGCAUCGAUCGGUGAAUGCGGAAAAAAUCCAAAUUUCAUGCUGUUCAAUUGCUCCAAAAGUUGCGGAGUCUGUCCAGUUUGUAAGGAUAAAGUCAAAGGUUGUAAAUCUAAGGCAGCAAACAGUGAAUGCACGAAAAACAAAAAUUACAUGAAGCGUAAUUGCCCCAAAACUUGCCGCUUCUGUUAGGAUCAAAAUAAAACCUUCUGACCUGUCUUCUUCCGGAUCAGAUGGAAAAGAUUUGAGGCAGUAGUAUCAUUUUUCUUGCAUGAUUUGGGUUGGGUGAAGGAAUGAGCUGGGUUGCUAAUGUAAGGGGUUUUUUCGCUGUGCUUAUUGCCGAAUUUUAAGCCUCGUUAUCUGGAAAAUAA
Molecule: non-coding RNA, 689 nt
Organism: Pocillopora verrucosa
Lineage: Eukaryota; Metazoa; Cnidaria; Anthozoa; Scleractinia; Pocilloporidae
Source: RefSeq, a predicted model, not a curated record